RNAcentral lists this non-coding RNA (24 nucleotides) under Arabidopsis thaliana (thale cress). Lineage: Eukaryota; Viridiplantae; Streptophyta; Magnoliopsida; Brassicales; Brassicaceae. The record is from RNAcentral.
GUGGGACCCGCCAACAGGAUGCCA